UCCGGAUUAGUAAAAUUUAUUAUACCACUUUGAUAUGGUGGAGUUCCUCUGGUAGGAUUCGGUA
This 64-nucleotide transfer RNA is filed under the name Strongyloides vituli. Its description in RNAcentral is "tRNA-Ile". The record is from RNAcentral. Lineage: Eukaryota; Metazoa; Nematoda; Chromadorea; Rhabditida; Strongyloididae.